CCUUCGAUAGCUCAGUUGGUAGAGCGGUGGACUGUAGAUAAAUAUGAUUUCAAAAUAGUGAUCCAUAGGUCGCUGGUUCAAAUCCGGCUCGAAGGA
This 96-nucleotide transfer RNA is filed under the name Aedes aegypti (yellow fever mosquito). RNAcentral describes it as "partial tRNA-OTHER". It matches the Rfam family "tRNA". Rfam says of the family: Transfer RNA (tRNA) molecules are approximately 80 nucleotides in length. Their secondary structure includes four short double-helical elements and three loops (D, anti-codon, and T loops). Further hydrogen bonds mediate the characteristic L-shaped molecular structure. tRNAs have two regions of fundamental functional importance: the anti-codon, which is responsible for specific mRNA codon recognition, and the 3' end, to which the tRNAs corresponding amino acid is attached (by aminoacyl-tRNA synthetases). tRNAs cope with the degeneracy of the genetic code in two manners: having more than one tRNA (with a specific anti-codon) for a particular amino acid; and 'wobble' base-pairing, i.e. permitting non-standard base-pairing at the 3rd anti-codon position. Lineage: Eukaryota; Metazoa; Arthropoda; Insecta; Diptera; Culicidae. The record is from RNAcentral.